This 957-nucleotide long non-coding RNA is filed under the name Malus domestica (apple). RNAcentral describes it as "long non-coding RNA (MDOM_LNC006195)". Lineage: Eukaryota; Viridiplantae; Streptophyta; Magnoliopsida; Rosales; Rosaceae. The record is from RNAcentral.
UUUUGUUUCCCUCUUGUUUACAAGUUGAAAAUGCGUUGGAAUUGGAUGGAGCAGCCAAUUUAAUGUACGUAAUUGUAAUGUUAUUUAUACAGUAGAGAGAGAGAGAGUUACGAUUUCAAGGUCCAAAGGCUAACAGUGGUAGGAGAAGGGUUGGAUGCGGUGCUAAUAUUUACAAGGCUGAGAAAGAUCGCUUCAGCAGAGAUGAUAUCAGUUGGGCCAGCGAAGGAAGAGAUCAAAAAGGACACGAAACAAACAACUCAACCCCACAAAAACAAUAAAGAAUCUCCCGUGAGAGAGCUUCUCUCCUUCCAUGAGAAUUCUUCCCCUCCUUUUGGUUGAUUAGGGUUUCAAUCUUGAGCACCAUCUUAGGCGCUGACUCUAGCUUCGGCUGGAGUCGGUUGCCACUUUUCCCUUCUUUUGUUUUCUCCUCUUUUUCCCUUCUCUGCUGCUUUUUCCCCUCCUCCUCAUCUUGAUUUGCCCUCUUCUUCUUCCCUUGUUGUUGUCCCUCUUCCUCCUUCAUCUGCGUUUCGAUCUUCAGCCACACUUGCGUUCGAGUUGGUGCUACGAGUUUUGGUGUUUCGACCGACUCGGGUGUUCCUAACACCACCACCUUCUCUUUGUUGUCUGCCAGAUCUGGCAGUGUUGCUCAUGGUCUUCCUUUUAUUGAUAACCAAUUGAUUUCCUUCAGUUUUUUGUUACCCUUACUUUAUGGCUGUGCUCGGGGAGCAUAUCGGUAUUGGAUGAUACGAUCAGAGAGGCGAUAUUUGGCGGUGGGCAUGGAUUUCUGCAGGUUGAGAUGCACUGUCAUGGUGGAGGCGAUAGCAGCAGACUUUGUUUUUCUGUUUUCAAGUUCUGGUCCUUUUUGGUUUGUGUAUUUUGUCUGUGGGCCAGUAGUUUGUAAAUUUGUGCCAUGUGUUUAAUAAAGUUUCUUGGUGAUUCUUUUGAAUCCCACUUGAC